RNAcentral lists this ribosomal RNA (253 nucleotides) under uncultured bacterium. Its description in RNAcentral is "partial 16S ribosomal RNA". It matches the Rfam family "Bacterial small subunit ribosomal RNA", at positions 524 to 776 of the family's 1533-position model. The record is from RNAcentral.
UACAGAGGGGGCAAGCGUUGUUCGGAAUUACUGGGCGUAAAGGGCGCGUAGGCGGCCUUCUAAGUCGAACGUGAAAUCCCCGGGCUCAACCCGGGAACUGCGUCCGAUACUGGAAGGCUUGAAUCCGGGAGAGGGAUGCGGAAUUCCAGGUGUAGCGGUGAAAUGCGUAGAUAUCUGGAGGACCACCGGUGGCGAAGGCGGCAUCCUGGACCGGCAUUGACGCUGAGGCGCGAAAGCCAGGGGAGCAAACGGG